ACGGGGCGCAGCAGGCGCGAAAACUUCACACUGCAGGAAACUGUGAUGAGGGAACUCCAAGUGCAUCCACUAUGUGGAUGCUUUUUUUGACUAUUAAUCGGUCAACGAAUAAGGGCUGGGAAAGACCGGUGCCAGCAGCCGCGGUAAU
RNAcentral lists this ribosomal RNA (148 nucleotides) under uncultured archaeon. Its description in RNAcentral is "partial 16S ribosomal RNA". It matches the Rfam family "Archaeal small subunit ribosomal RNA", at positions 325 to 474 of the family's 1478-position model. The record is from RNAcentral.